Molecule: ribosomal RNA, 253 nt
Filed under: uncultured bacterium
Lineage: Bacteria
Description: partial 16S ribosomal RNA
Rfam family: Bacterial small subunit ribosomal RNA
Source: RNAcentral
UACGGAGGGGGCUAGCGUUGUUCGGAAUUACUGGGCGUAAAGCGCACGUAGGCGGACGAGAAAGUCAGAGGUGAAAUCCCAGGGCUCAACCUUGGAACUGCCUUUGAAACUUUCUGUCUUGAGGUCGAGAGAGGUGAGUGGAAUUCCGAGUGUAGAGGUGAAAUUCGCAGAUAUUCGGAGGAACACCAGUGGCGAAGGCGGCUCACUGGCUCGAUACUGACGCUGAGGUGCGAGAGCGUGGGGAGCAAACAGG